GAUCAUGGCUCAGGAUGAACGCUGGCGGCGUGCUUAACACAUGCAAGUCGAGCGAAGCACUUAGGAAAGAUUCUUCGGAUGAUUUCCUAUUUGACUGAGCGGCGGACGGGUGAGUAACGCGUGGGUAACCUGCCUCAUACAGGGGGAUAACAGUUAGAAAUGACUGCUAAUACCGCAUAAGACCACAGCACCGCAUGGUGCAGGGGUAAAAACUCCGGGUGGGUAUGAGAUGGACCCGCG
This 240-nucleotide ribosomal RNA is filed under the name uncultured bacterium. RNAcentral describes it as "partial 16S ribosomal RNA". It matches the Rfam family "Bacterial small subunit ribosomal RNA", at positions 15 to 235 of the family's 1533-position model. The record is from RNAcentral.